GUGGGGAAUCUUAGACAAUGGGGGAAACCCUGAUCUAGCCAUGCCGCGUGAGCGAUGAAGGCCUUAGGGUUGUAAAGCUCUUUCAGCUGGGAAGAUAAUGACGGUACCAGCAGAAGAAGCCCCGGCUAACUCCGUGCCAGCAGCCGCGGUAAUACGGAGGGGGCUAGCGUUGUUCGGAAUUACUGGGCGUAAAGCGCGCGUAGGCGGACCAGAAAGUUGGAGGUGAAAUCCCAGGGCUCAACCUUGGAACUGCCUUCAAAACUCCCAGUCUUGAGUUCGAGGGAGGUGAGUGGAAUUCCGAGUGUAGAGGUGAAAUUCGUAGAUAUUCGGAGGAACACCAGUGGCGAAGGCGGCUCACUGGCUCGAUACUGACGCUGAGGUGCGAAAGCGUGGGGAGCAAACAGGAUUAGAUACCCCUGUAGUCC
Molecule: ribosomal RNA, 425 nt
Filed under: uncultured bacterium
Lineage: Bacteria
Description: partial 16S ribosomal RNA
Rfam family: Bacterial small subunit ribosomal RNA
Source: RNAcentral